ACGCUAGCUACAGGCUUAACACAUGCAAGUCGAGGGGCAGCAUUUCAGUUUGCUUGCAAACUGGAGAUGGCGACCGGCGCACGGGUGAGUAACACGUAUCCAACCUGCCGAUAACUCGGGGAUAGCCUUUCGAAAGAAAGAUUAAUACCCGAUAGUAUAAUUAGACCGCAUGGUCUUAUUAUUAAAGAAUUUCGGUUAUCGAUGGGGAUGCGUUCCAUUAGGCAGUUGGUGAGGUAACGGCUCACCAAACCUUCGAUGGAUAGGGGUUCUGAGAGGAAGGUCCCCCACGUUGGAACUGAGACACGGUCCAAACUCCUACGGGAGGCAGCAGUGAGGAAUAUUGGUCAAUGGGCGCAGGCCUGAACCAGCCAAGUAGCGUGAAGGAUGACUGCCCUAUGGGUUGUAAACUUCUUUUAUAUGGGAAUAAAGUUUUCCACGUGUGGAAUUUUGUAUGUACCAUAUGAAUAAGGAUCGGCUAACUCCGUGCCAGCAGCCGCGGUAAUACGGAGGGUCCGGGCGUUAUCCGGAUUUAUUGGGUUUAAAGGGAGCGUAGGCCGUGAGGGUAAGCGUGUUGUGAAAUGUAGGCGCCCAACGUCUGCACUGCAGCGCGAACUGCCCCACUUGAGUGCGCGCAACGCCGGCGGAACUCGUCGUGUAGCGGUGAAAUGCUUAGAUAUGACGAAGAACCCCGAUUGCGAAGGCAGCUGGCGGGAGCGUAACUGACGCUGAAGCUCGAAAGCGCGGGUAUCGAACAGGAUUAGAUACCCUGGUAGUCCGCGCGGUAAACGAUGGAUGCCCGCUGUGGCGCGCCUGGCGUGCCGCGGCUAAGCGAAAGCAUUAAGCAUCCCACCUGGGGAGUACGCCGGCAACGGUGAAACUCAAAGGAAUUGACGGGGGCCCGCACAAGCGGAGGAACAUGUGGUUUAAUUCGAUGAUACGCGAGGAACCUUACCCGGGCUUGAACUGCAGGAGAACGAUUCAGAGAUGAUGAGGUCCUUCGGGACUCCUGUGGAGGUGCUGCAUGGUUGUCGUCAGCUCGUGCCGUGAGGUGUCGGCUUAAGUGCCAUAACGGGCGCAACCCCUCUCCGUAGUUGCCAUCGGGUAAUGCCGGGCACUCUGCGGACACUGCCACCGUAAGGUGUGAGGAAGGUGGGGAUGACGUCAAAUCAGCACGGCCCUUACGUCCGGGGCCACACACGUGUUACAAUGGCCGUCACAGAGGGGAGCCGGGCGACCGGCUCAUGAUCCUUAAAAACGGUCUCAGUUCGGACUGGGGUCUGCAACCCGACCCCACGAAGCUGGAUUCGCUAGUAAUCGCGCAUCAGCCAUGGCGCGGUGAAUACGUUCCCGGGCCUUGUACACACCGCCCGUCAAGCCAUGAAAGCCGGGGGCGCCUGAAGUCCGUGACCGCAAGGAUCGGCCUAGGGCGAAACUGGUGAUUGGGGCUAA
This 1449-nucleotide ribosomal RNA is filed under the name uncultured organism. RNAcentral's name for it is "SSU rRNA". It matches the Rfam family "Bacterial small subunit ribosomal RNA". The record is from RNAcentral.